RNAcentral lists this ribosomal RNA (446 nucleotides) under uncultured bacterium. RNAcentral's name for it is "partial 16S ribosomal RNA". It matches the Rfam family "Bacterial small subunit ribosomal RNA", at positions 338 to 795 of the family's 1533-position model. The record is from RNAcentral.
CCUACGGGGUGCUGCAGUCGAGAAUCAUUCACAAUGGGGGAAACCCUGAUGGUGCGACGCCGCGUGGGGGAAUGAAGGUCUUCGGAUUGUAAACCCCUGUCAUGUGGGAGCAAAUUAAAAAGAUAGUACCACACGAGGAAGAGACGGCUAACUCUGUGCCAGCAGCCGCGGUAAUACAGAGGUCUCAAGCGUUGUUCGGAAUCACUGGGCGUAAAGCGUGCGUAGGCUGUUUCGUAAGUCGUGUGUGAAAGGCGCGGGCUCAACCCGCGGACGGCACAUGAUACUGCGAGACUAGAGUAAUGGAGGGGGAACCGGAAUUCUCGGUGUAGCAGUGAAAUGCGUAGAUAUCGAGAGGAACACUCGUGGCGAAGGCGGGUUCCUGGACAUUAACUGACGCUGAGGCACGAAGGCCAGGGGAGCGAAAGGGAUUAGAUACCCUAGUAGUC